GUGAGGCCUUCGGACUGGCCCUGGGAGGUCGGCAACGACCACCCGGGGCCGGAAAGUUCGUCAAACUUGGUCAUUUAGAGGAAGUAAAAGUCGUAACAAGGUCUCCGUAGGUGAACCUGCGGAGGGAUCAUUA
RNAcentral lists this ribosomal RNA (133 nucleotides) under Microcyclospora malicola. Its description in RNAcentral is "partial 18S ribosomal RNA". It matches the Rfam family "Eukaryotic small subunit ribosomal RNA", at positions 1701 to 1831 of the family's 1831-position model. Lineage: Eukaryota; Fungi; Ascomycota; Dothideomycetes; Capnodiales. The record is from RNAcentral.